AAGUCGUAACAAGGUAACCGUAGGUGAACCUGCGGUUGGAUCAUUAACAAAACGAUAAGAGUCAAGCCGUAAAACGCUUGGCUUUUAUAAACACUGUGCACUUGUGAUUGUCUUUGGUGGGCGUGGUGAAAGUAGCAAUACUUGAAACACCUGCCGGAGUUCAUCGGGUUUAUCCUGAUAAAUUCCACCCACCCUUAAACAUGUAUAACUUGAACUAGUUUAUUUAUUAUUUAUAAUAUCUAACAACUUUUGACAACGGAUCUCUAGGCUCUC
Molecule: unclassified non-coding RNA, 273 nt
Filed under: fungal sp.
Lineage: Eukaryota; Fungi
Description: partial internal transcribed spacer region
Rfam family: Eukaryotic small subunit ribosomal RNA (bases 1-46)
Source: RNAcentral